Molecule: ribosomal RNA, 500 nt
Filed under: uncultured bacterium
Lineage: Bacteria
Description: partial 16S ribosomal RNA
Rfam family: Bacterial small subunit ribosomal RNA
Source: RNAcentral
AUUGAACGCUGGCGGAAUGCUUUACACAUACAAGUCGAACGGCAGCACGGACUUCGGUCUGGUGGCGAGUGGCGAACGGGUGAGUAAUGUAUCGGAACGUGCCCAGUCGUGGGGGAUAACGUAGUGAAAAUUACGCUAAUACCGCAUACGAUCUAUGGAUGAAAGCGGGGGAUCGCAAGACCUCGCGCGAUUGGAGCGGCCGAUAUCAGAUUAGGUAGUUGGUGGGGUAAAGGCCCACCAAGCCAACGAUCUGUAGCUGGUCUGAGAGGACGACCAGCCACACUGGAACUGGGACACGGUCCAGACUCCUACGGGAGGCAGCAGUGGGGAAUUUUGGACAAUGGGCGAAAGCCUGAUCCAGCCAUUCCGCGUGCGGGAUGAAGGCCCUCGGGUUGUAAACUGCUUUUGUACAGAACGAAAGGGUUUCUACUAAUACUAGGAGCUCAUGACGGUACUGUAAGAAUAAGCACCGGCUAACUACGUGCCAGCCACCGCCGUAA